CAGUUCCAGUUCCUCUGUUUCUUCGGUAGUUUUUGGAUUGGUAAGAGAUUGAGUGAUCUUCUUCUUAUUCUUUUCAUCAUCAACCGGAGCCAAAGCCAAGAGCCAAAUCGUCUUAGAGGUAGAGCUUUUCUGAUGGUGGCUGUUGGGCUUUGAAGAAGUAGAGCUUUCUUGUGGGGGCUACUGAGCUGCAUACUUCACAAGUUUGAGAAUGGCAUAAGGAGAUUUUUUUUUUUUUAACUCAUCCAUUGUUAUGCGUUGGCAAAUUAAGAAGGUUCAUAGAUGUCUGAUCUUUCUUAAGUUAACAAAUUUCCAUUUUGUUUUAAGAUUCUUAAGUUGGUA
Carya illinoinensis is the source of this 339-nucleotide long non-coding RNA. RefSeq lists it as uncharacterized. Lineage: Eukaryota; Viridiplantae; Streptophyta; Magnoliopsida; Fagales; Juglandaceae. The record is from RefSeq and is a predicted model, not a curated record. The transcript is spliced from 2 exons.